UAAAAAAUUAAAUAAGUUACUUAUAUAUUCUUUGAAUAAGGCAAAGAGUUUCUACAAGCGACCGGAAAUUGCUUACUAUAAGUGAGAGCAUAGAUAUC
Molecule: non-coding RNA, 98 nt
Filed under: Pseudoleptotrichia goodfellowii
Lineage: Bacteria; Fusobacteriati; Fusobacteriota; Fusobacteriia; Fusobacteriales; Leptotrichiaceae
Also listed under: 1 other name
Description: Leptotrichia goodfellowii Guanine sequence
Rfam family: Purine riboswitch aptamer
About the family: Riboswitches are metabolite binding domains within certain messenger RNAs that serve as precision sensors for their corresponding targets. Allosteric rearrangement of mRNA structure is mediated by ligand binding, and this results in modulation of gene expression.
Source: RNAcentral